Molecule: ribosomal RNA, 492 nt
Filed under: uncultured bacterium
Lineage: Bacteria
Description: partial 16S ribosomal RNA
Rfam family: Bacterial small subunit ribosomal RNA
Source: RNAcentral
AGUGAACGCUGGCGGUAGGCCUAACACAUGCAAGUCGAACGGCAGCACAGUAAGAGCUUGCUCUUACGGGUGGCGAGUGGCGGACGGGUGGGGAAUACAUCGGAAUCUACUUUUUCGUGGGGGAUAACGUAGGGAAACUUACGCUAAUACCGCAUACGACCUACGGGUGAAAGCAGGGGAUCUUCGGACCUUGCGCGAUUGAAUGAGCCGAUGUCGGAUUAGCUAGUUGGCGGGGUAAAGGCCCACCAAGGCGACGAUCCGUAGCUGGUCUGAGAGGAUGAUCAGCCACACUAGAACUGAGACACGGUCCAGACUCCUACGGGAGGCAGCAGUGGGGAAUAUUGGACAAUGGGCGCAAGCCUGAUCCAGCCAUACCGCGUGGGUGAAGAAGGCCUUCGGGUUGUAAAGCCCUUUUGUUGGGAAAGAAAAGCAGCAGGUUAAUACCCCGCUGUUCUGACGGUACCCAAAGAAUAAGCACCGGCUAACUUCGUG